RNAcentral lists this non-coding RNA (24 nucleotides) under Arabidopsis thaliana (thale cress). Lineage: Eukaryota; Viridiplantae; Streptophyta; Magnoliopsida; Brassicales; Brassicaceae. The record is from RNAcentral.
AAUAGGGCUACUUACAACUGCAAU